AGCGAACGCUGGCGGCAGGCUUAACACAUGCAAGUCGAACGGGCACCUUCGGGUGUCAGUGGCAGACGGGUGAGUAACACGUGGGAACGUGCCCUUCGGUUCGGAAUAACUCAGGGAAACUUGAGCUAAUACCGGAUACGUCCGAGAGGAGAAAGAUUUAUCGCCGAGGGAUCGGCCCGCGUCUGAUUAGCUAGUUGGUGGGGUAAUGGCCCACCAAGGCGACGAUCAGUAGCUGGUCUGAGAGGAUGAUCAGCCACACUGGGACUGAGACACGGCCCAGACUCCUACGGGAGGCAGCAGUGGGGAAUAUUGGACAAUGGGCGAAAGCCUGAUCCAGCCAUGCCGCGUGAGUGAUGAAGGCCUUAGGGUUGUAAAGCUCUUUCGGCGGGGACGAUAAUGACGGUACCCGCAGAAGAAGCCCCGGCUAACUUCGUGCCAGCCGCCGCCGUAACAC
Molecule: ribosomal RNA, 454 nt
Filed under: uncultured bacterium
Lineage: Bacteria
Description: bacterial SSU rRNA
Rfam family: Bacterial small subunit ribosomal RNA
Source: RNAcentral